CCACCCUUCAGCCAACACCGGCAUCGUCAACCACACCCACUCCAGGAUGGGCUCCAUCAUGAGCACGGGCAUCGUGCAAGGCUCGUCGGGCGGCCAGAGCAGCGCGGGCUCCAGCGCCCACUACCCCCUGAACAGCCAGUUCACCAUGGGGGGCCCCCCCAUCUCCAUGGCCUCCCCCAUGUCCAUCACCACCAACACGAUGCACUACGGCAGCUAAAGACCCCUCCCCAAAAAAAAAAAAAAACCAGGAAAAACCAAAAGCGGGGACCCCGGCCCGGGGGUCCCUCCCUGCCCCCUCGCUCCGUGCCGGACCCGGAGGGGAUUUUUGGGAUUUUUUGGGAUUUUUUGGGA
Molecule: long non-coding RNA, 351 nt
Organism: Pyrgilauda ruficollis (rufous-necked snowfinch)
Lineage: Eukaryota; Metazoa; Chordata; Aves; Passeriformes; Passeridae
Exons: 2
Source: RefSeq, a predicted model, not a curated record